Long non-coding RNA from Heterocephalus glaber (naked mole-rat), 1465 nucleotides. The record is from Ensembl. Lineage: Eukaryota; Metazoa; Chordata; Mammalia; Rodentia; Bathyergidae.
GCGGAGGAGGGGCGCCAGGGCGGCGCGGGCCCGGGGCCACCUGCUGGCCGAGCCGCUGCUCCCCGGGGCGCCGCUUCCGCCUGGCCGAGCGCGGCGCCCCGAGGAGGCGGGAGGCCGCGGCGCAGCGCCCUGGGCCGGGCCCGCCGCGGGGCCUGGGCUCGCGGACCCUUGGUCGCCGCCCGCCCCGGAGCUGGAGCCGCCGCGGCCGCGGCUGCGGGCCGGGAACUUACCCUUUGCCGUCUGCGAGGCCGGCGGAGGUGGAGCGCGGGCUCGGUUCCGGCGGACUCGGUCCGAGGGGAGUUGGGGUGCGGGGGCUGUGCCCCAGGUCGAACGCCGGUGCUCGACGGACGCGGGGCGGGGGCGGGUUUGUGUCCCGCGCCUCCUGGGGGCAGCGCCGACCGCGGGCGCCCCGGAGCGGAACGGAAAGGAAUUCGGCCCGGGGAGAGCGUGCUGAACGCGGCGACACGCCGGACCGAAAGCCCCGGCGGGCGUGCGGAGGGCACGGACGGCCCGGCCCUACGGCCCCCGGCUCGGGGAGACCGGCCACUCCGCGUGGCCCUCACCCCGGAAGCAAAACUGGACCAGGAGGACUAGCCCCGUCUGAGGAAAUAUACACUCAAGUAUUUUCCAAUAAAGCUGGGGUGAGCAGAAUAAAUGCCUCUGUUUAAUCUGCCAUGAAAACUGGAAACUUCUCUCCGCCUUCCUAAACAGUAGUGUGAUAUGGGGAGGAAGAGAGUGAAAGAGAGGUAUCGCACCUGCAGAGGAAAUUAUCAGUUGGAGAGAGGGGACAAGAUGCUUCCCCCUAAGAUCAGGAACAGGACAAGGCCAUCUGCUCUCACCACUCCUAUGCAACGUUAUCUUGAAAGUCUGAGGUACUGCAAAGACAACACAAUGAAAUAAAAGGUAUGCAGGUUGGGAAGUAAGAAAUAAAACUGUCUUUACUGGCAUCUGACGUGAUUGUCUAUGUAGAAAUUCCAAAAAAAUCAAUAGAAUGAAUACUUGAUCGUAGUAAGGACACAAUAUGAGGUUAAUAUAAAAAAGUCAAUCGCAAUUUUAUAUACCAACAAUGAAGAAGGAAUUUGGAACACACAAAAACAUUUACAUUGGCACUUCAAAGGAAAGAGGUUAGGUAUAAAUCUAACAAAAUGUGAAUAAGCUCUAUAAUAGGAAAACUACAAAGCUCUGAUGAAAGAAGAUAUAAAUGAAGAGAUAUACUUCAUGCAUAAAAAUAGGAUGACAAUGCUGCCAACUGUCAUUUCUGACUCCAUCUAUAGACUCAAUGUGUUCCCAAAGAAUAGCACAGAAAUAUGACCACCAAGCUAUUACCAAACUGGUCUUUAGCAAAAGAGUAAAGGCAAUGCAAUGGAGAAUGGACAGCCUUUUCAACAGAUGGUUCUGGAACAAGUGGACAUCUACACACAAAAAGUCACUGCAGACAUCUUUCACAAGUUAAUGAAAUUAAAUC